ACCAAUCUUGAGAACUAGUUCUCGCAGUUUCCUAGCCUACCAAUCAGUUUGUUUGAACGACUCGAAUAGCCAAUCAGUGCUGCACUGCACUCUUAUUCUUCUAUUCCUAUUGGCGGGGGGCUAUUCAGACAAGACCAUUCAUUCGAAUAAGCUAGUAGGCGGAACAGGCACAUUGGAAAUAGCCGGUGCUGUGGUCCCAUAGAAACCAUCACUUGAAACUAGUAGCUGCUACUAUUGAGAAACCAACCCCUUAAAUAGAGUAGCGCUCUAUCUAAUUGAUCUUCUUGUUCGGCGACCCCUCCUCCAUAAUAGUAUUUGCUUGGCAAGCACGAGUUCGAGAGACCCACUAUUACAUAGGAUUAACAUGCCGGGGCUUUUAAAGAUAGAUGGUUUACUGGCAACUCUUUUAUUUGGCAAAUGGAUUCUUCUCCUCACUAGGUUCUUACUAUUCUCUAAUGGCAGAGAACAGAAGCUCAG
This 477-nucleotide long non-coding RNA is filed under the name Amborella trichopoda. RNAcentral describes it as "long non-coding RNA (ATRI_LNC005332)". Lineage: Eukaryota; Viridiplantae; Streptophyta; Magnoliopsida; Amborellales; Amborellaceae. The record is from RNAcentral.